GGAGUGCAGUGGUACAGUCACAGCUCACUGCAGCCUCCACCUCCUGGGCUCAAGGGAUCCUCCUAUCUCAGCCUCCCAAGUAGCUGGGUCUACAGGCAGAGUCUCGACUCUCCUGGGUUUCCGAGUCAAAUGUCUCUUGCCUGGAGAGGCCGCGAUUUGUCCCACUGCGAUGGUUGUGGUGUGGGGCUGAGGAGGAAGAGCGGUGCUGGGAUUUCUUGACUGGUUCCACACUAGGUUCUUCUUCAGCUUGAGAAGCAGAACGGAUAGGAGCGGAGCGAUCAGUCCUUUGAUCACCUUGAGAACCCUGGCAGCAAAAGGAGCACACCAGGCGUUAACCAAGGUACAUACACAGCUCAUGCUGGACUUGCUUUGAGUUAAUAUACUAGAACAAGCCCCACGCAGGCUACUGGGCUUGGAUCCUAGAGGUGUCACCAUAGUUCUGGCCAGGCAUGGCGGCUCAUGCCUGUAAUCCUAGCACUUCGGAAGGCCAAAGCAGGAGGAUCACUUCAGGCCAGGAGAUCUAGACCAGCCUGGGCAACAUAGCAAGACCCCACCUCUACAGGGGGAAAAAAAAAGUUAGUCGAUCAUGGUGGCAUGCACCUAUAGUCUCAGCUGCUUGGAAGGCUGAAGCAAGAGGAUCACUUGAGCCCAGGAGUUCAGGGGUGCAGUGAGCUAAGACCAUACCACUGCACUCCCAACAUGGGCAACAGAGCAAGACCUUGUCUCAAAAAAAAAAAAAAAAAAAACAGGUCUGAUAUCUGUAAUAAAUAUCUGUAACUGGAUUAUGCUGUAUAUAGAGAUAACUUACUGGAGGACACUGAGCCAGUUUAUCAGCUGCUACCAUCUGGACGUUGAGGUGUUUAGCUUGAGAUUUCCCUCGAGAUUUUAUUAACCUUUGUAAAACCUGUAAAAGAUAAUGAGUUUUUAACAGAGUAAUAACUACAUCCAGGUAAAGUACAAGGUACAUUACUGACUCCUUUCUCUGGGGCCUUUUUAUAUACAGCACAAGGGGCUUAUAAUAGAUGGAGCUAUAAGAUUAUCUGCAAAAUUAACAUGUUAACAUAAAUCACAGUUGCAAGCUUUAAGCACUCAUUCUUUUUUCUAAGCUAGCAGCUCUCAAACGUUUUGUCCCACAACCUCUUUAAAGAAGCUAAAAUGGAAAACUAAACUAUUAAAACAUUUAUUUAAAAAUUCACAAUAAAUCUGAUACAGGUUUAUAUAUUUUUUGUUUGUUUGUUUUUUGUUGUUUUUUUGAGAUGGAGUUUUGCUCUGUUGCCCAGGCUGGAGUGCAGUGGCACGAUCUCGGCUCACUGUAAGCUCCGCCUCCCAAGUUCAUGCCAUUCUCCUGCCUCAGCCUCCCGAGUAGCUGGGACUACAGGCGCCCACCACCAUGCCCGGCUAAUUUUUUUGUAUUUGUAGUAGAGACGGGGUUUCACUGUGUUAGCCAGGAUGGUCUCACUCUCCUCACCUCAUGAUCCUCCCGCCUCAGAGUGCUGGGAUUACAGGCAUGAGCCACUGUGCCCAGCCAAAUUUUUUUAAUAAAAAUAGCUACAUUUUUUACAAAUCUCUCUAAUGGCUGGCUGGCUUCAUAAAAGACAACUGCAGUCUCCUGUUUGCUUCUACAGCCAACCUGCUCUAGUGUCUUGUUUUUGGUUGAAAUAUAUGAAGAAAAUCCAACCUCCUACAGAUUUGUAAUGGAGAAAAGGAGAAACAAUUUAGUAUAGUCGUCUUCUUUGAUACUACACUAAAACUCAACAAAUGGUAGUUCCUUAAAGACUAUUUGUUAUGUGGAAUCUGAAACCUGCAGUGAAAUUUUCCAUGACAUUCCAUUGGUCUGUCUUGAAAUUAUUCAUUGAUCAUACAAACAAUAAUGGUUCACUGACUUCAGAUCUUCCAAAUGUUGACAGAUUUCAUUAUACAGUAUUAAAACAUCAUAUUCACUAAUAUUACCAUUGAUCUCAGAGAAAUGUUUAUUGAGAAGCUUGCAAGUUCUUAAAGGUGGAUACAAGUUUUCUGAAAUUCUGAUUGUUGUCUGAAAGCUUGAGUUUUAUCAUUGGCAACACAUGCUGUUCUCCUUUAAGUGACAGGGUUAUUUUGUCCAAGAAAAUAUCUGCUACACCAAGUCUGAAUAAGCAUAGCCUGUCAGUUGUUGUUUGAAAUAAAAAUGAUAUUCUAUGAAAAACAUGGCUAGUUUCGUUCACAACUCAAUCAAAUCAGUGCUUGUCCUUACUUUUUGGUAUGCAGCAGGAGCUUUGUGUGUACUUUGUUUUAUUACACUGAAUAUUAAAAGAAGUCAAGAUUUAAUAAAAGUAAUAAACUUUAGUACUUUAUCAGGACAUUAAGUGAAAUUGGCUUUUUUUCCCCUUAAACUGCGAAAGCAUGGUGAUGGUGGAUACAGUAACUGCUGGUACUUUGAUACCAGUCUUGAUUUAUGCUUAGACCCCAGCAGUUUUACCCACCAUUGCUUUUGCAUCAGCCAUGCAAAUGUCAAAACAGGGAAAAUCGCAAAUAAUGUCUUAGUAUUAUCAUGGAAGUAGUUUUCACUAAAUGGACCCUCUAAAAGUGUCUCAACACUCUCCAGGGAUCCGUGGACCACACUUUGAAAACAGCUGUUCUAAGCCAUGAAAUUAUAUCAAUUUAAAAAUUCUUGACUAUCAUGUCUCUUCAAAUUCCCUAUACAUCAUAAAGCCUAUUACAAUAGCCUAAUUAUAGAAAGCAGAACAUAAAAUACAUUUUAGGAAAGUUUGAUUAUAGAGCAAAUAGUAGCAAUCCUACUUACUUACCUUAGGAGAAGAAAUCUUUACAUAUACUAUAAUAGGGGCCAAGGAGGUUUUACUGAGUUGAGCUGGAUGAUUAAUCGUAUCCGCAUCAAGGACCACCAAUUGCAGUGUUCUUGCAAGUUCAAAAAUCCUUUCAAUUUCACUCUGGACUUCCGCUGUGAAGGGUGAAACAGCUCAGCUGAAGUGCAGUAUUUUUAAGAUAAAGUAAAAUGGUAUACUGUUUCUUCAACAGAAAGGUGAGUAGGUCAGCCAUUAUGUUAAUGCUUAUAGGCAAUAGAAUUGAUAAAAAUUUACAACAGUAAUUUAUCCUUUUGGAAAGGGAUCUUUCUCCACACAUCAUUAGGAUUUAAGGAUUUUCUCUCAACUGGCAACAGAAUUUACUUUUAGUAUAAUACUUGGAUUGUGGAAAUUUGUAGCUCUCUGCUGACAUUCUUUCUUUGUGCUUCCACUCUAUGAAAUCAUUUCAUAAAACUGCUGUAAAAUAAGAACCUUGAGAUAUCCUCUGUGUGUUCAUUGCAGACCACUUUGCACUAGCAACCAUGACAAGUUUUCCUUUCGGUGCAUGGGCUGAUCUGUGUUUACAUGUCACCUGUAUGCCGUCUAGAUAUGUUAACGAGAUGAAAUACAAAAUAAAACAGGAAAGAUGUGAAUGGCACCAGUAACAAACUUAUCCAAAAACAUACCUCAUAUUUUCCAACCAAAGUAGUCAUGUUUUAAAAGGGCAGUUUUCAGAGGCAGCACUACAGAAAUCUAAAGUAUAAAAUUUAUAGAAACUUAUCACAAAACAUUUAAAUAUCUAGUCGAACUCCAAGAAAAUUACAUUCAGUUCAUCUGUUCCAUGAUCUCCAAAGAAAGACUCAAAAACAGGACUGUCUGACAGAAUUUUCUGCAAUGAGGGAAAUAUCCUCUGUAUGUGGUCCAGUGUGGCAGCAGCUAAUGGGCUACUAAGCACUUGAACAGGCAUGUAAAUUUUUAAAAUUUAAUAAGUAGCCAGAAGCUACUAUUACUAGGCAGCAUAGGUCUAUAAAGCAUAGUACAUAGCUUUCAGUUCCCACUGCAGUCAUGGAGGUUGAAUUCCAUGAGACUUUUAUGCCAGCAAAUGUGGAUUUACAAUUACCUUUUAAUUCCUCGUAGGCAGUUCGAUUCAUGCCAGAAGCUUCCUGGAGGUAAUUUUAACUAGUAGAUUAUUGAAAAAAAGGUAACUCUCUGGUCACUAAUCCAUCUGCCUCACAAUAUGUUAUGACUUGAGUCUUUCUGUUUGCCUAGACAUGUUUAAAAAAUCAGGGCCCAAACUACAUGAGAUACUAGCUUUAAAAUAACAUUGGGCCACUGAAUCCCAGUCAAGUUACAACAUAAAUUAAUAUUUAUUGUGGGCAUUAAGAAAUCUGAUCAGAGAUUUUCAUCUGUGUUUCAUCUGCUAAGUGUUCAGACAGUCACAGCAUCCCGUGUAACUCCUUGCUUUUAAAGGUUUGAGCACUAUUUUUAUUGAUUAUAAGUUUAAUAUGUGGGGUUUUUGUUUUUUUGUUUUUUUUUUUUGAGACAGAGUCUCUCUCUGUCUCCCAGGCUGGAGUGCAAUGGCACAGUCUUGGCUCACCACAACCUCCUCCACCUCCUCAGUUCAAGCGAUUCUCUCGCCUCAGCCUCCCACAUAGCUGGAAUUACAGGCAUGUGCCACCAGGCCCAGCUUGUGUUUUGUAUUUUUAGUAGAGAUGGGGUUUCACCAUGUUGGCCAGGCUGGUCUCAAACUCCUGACCUCAAGUGAUCUCCCGCCUCAGCCUUCCAAACUGCUGGCAUUACAGGUGUGAGCCACUGCGCCCAGCCCUAAUAUGUGCUCAUCAUAUAAAACCUGGAUAGCCUUAAAAUAUAUUACAUAUACGGAUAUUAUUUCUAUUAUGUCAACAUAUUAACAUGUUUUAAUAUAUAUACAUAUAUAAAGAUAUUUCUGGUAGCCUUACAUACAUACUUUACACUCCUUUAAUUAAAGGGAAAGAUUUUAAAAAUAUUUUAAAGUGGACUUUCAGAAUACUGGUGCAACACCGUAUUAGUAGAUACAACCUUAAAGAUCAAUGACAAAUUCUGAUAAUACUUUUGACUUCAAAGUAAAAAUGAUGCUUUUAAAAAGGGAUGUAUCCAUGCUAGGAAUUUUCCUUUGACAGAGCAUAUCAUGCUCAGAAUUUACUGUAAUAAAGAAAUGUCAGAAACUUCCCCAAUGUUCGUUUCUGAAACUGAAAGUCAAUUUGAUUCUUUCCAGUCGUCCUAGCUAAUGAAAGAAUGCAGCUCAGCAUCUUGAAGAGGGGGCAAGCCUUCCUCAUCUCCCCACAUCCCACAGUUUCUUAUACCCACUGAAUUAAACUGAAAAAUGAAGAACACCUUUAUGCUUUAUAUCUCUAGUAUCUAUAAACAACACCAAGAACAAUCAAUGUUUCCUCUAAGAUAAGAGAAGCUACAACACUGAUUAUUAGAGAAAUGCAAAUCAAGCCACAAUGAGAUACCAUCUCCCACCAGUUAGAAUGGCUGUUAUUAGAAAGUCAAAAAAUAACAGAUGCUGUUGAGGUUGUGGAGAAAAAGGAACGCUUACACACUGUUGAUGGGAGUGUAAAUUAGUUAAACCAUUGUGGAAGACAGUAUGGCAGUUCCUCAAAGACGUAAAGAUAGGAAUACCAUUUGACCCAGCAAUCCCACUACUGGGUAUAUACCCAAAGAAAUAGAAGUCAUUCUAUUAUAAAGAUACAUGCACAUAUAUGUUCACUGCAGCACUAUUCACAAUAGCAAAGAUGUGGAAUCAACCUAAAGGGCCAUCAAUGAUGGAGUGGAUAAAGAAAACACAGUACAUAUACACCAUGGAAUACUAUGCAGCCAUAAAAAAGAACAAGAUCAUGUCCUUUGGAGGGAUAUGGAUCGAGCUGAAGGACAUUAACCAUAGCAAACUAAUGCAGGAACAGAAAACGAAAUGCCACAUGUUCUCACUUGUAAGUGGGAGCUAAAUGAUGAGAACACAUGGACACAUAGAGGGUAACGACACACACUGGGGCCUAUCAGGGUGGGAGGAGGAAGAGAGUCAGGAAAAAAUAACUGAUGAGUACUAGUCUUAAUACCUGGGUGAUAGGAACUUAAAAGUUAGCAAACAACAGAAGUUAACUUAUUUAGGAGGUUUAUGUUAUAAUACGGUAAUAACAGAGUGGAGAUGGUUAUUUUCAUUGCGGCUAGUGUUGAGGGACACCUAAGUGGUCAGUUAGGAAUUAAUAAGACCUGGAGGUAGCUCUAGUAUGAGUUAUUUAAUGCCAUAUAUGUAAUUCCAAUGCCAUUUUCAUAAUUACUACACACAAAACUCUUAAUUUUGACCAGUGCCCACCUUAUCUUGCAAAAAAUCUGUACAAGCCUUCUCUAACCACCUUUCUACCCAGGCUCAGUAAAUUCUGCCUCUCUGUUCCCACUGCCACAUAUCAAAGGGGCUUGGGGGGCAGAAAUGAAGUGUCAUCGCUUCAUAGAGCUGUAUGGUCACUGGGUAACACAUUGAACCUCUUAGAACCUAAGUAUUCUUAUCUAUAUUACGGAAAUGAGGACUAGAUGAAUCCACAUGCAAAGCUUCCAUUACAGUUAUUGCAGUACUUGGCCUACAGUAAGUGCAGACAGUCCAUGACUUAUGAUGGUUUGACUCAAAGAUUUUUCAACUUUAUAGAGUGUGAAAGCAAUAUACAUACAGUAGGAACCGAACUUUGAGUCCCCAUACAACCAUUCUGUUUUUCACUUUUAGUAUUCAGUACAUGAGAUACUCUACACUUUAUUAUAAAAUGGGUUUGGUGGUAGAUGCAGUUGGUUUGUCCAACUGCAUUUUUUUUUGCAUUUUUGUACUUUUUGCAUUUUAUUAUAAUAAAAUUACAGCCUCCUCUUUGGCUCACUCUUUACUCCUUGGUCUGCUUCUGCUUUUACAGUUCUCAACCACUGACCAACCAUCUCUGUCUGUCUGUAUAUACAAGAUUUUGUCCAUGUCUUCCUGUAAAAUAAACACUAUGAGAAAGAGGACUUUGUGUCCUUUACUUUUGUGUCCCUGGGCACCAAAAUAAUGCCUGGCACAUGGUUGGUACUCAAGUAUUUGCUAAAUGAAUGAAUGCCUCCAGUCUGUACAUGGUCCCCUACCACCUUAAGAAUAAUGAUAUGGUUUGGCUGUGCCCACCCAAAUCUCAUCUUGAAUUGUAGCUCCCAUAAUUCCCACUUGUCAUAGGAGGGACCUGGUGGGGGGUAAUUGAAUCUUGGGAGUUGGUCUUUCCCAUGCAGUUCUCCUGAUAGUGAUUGAGUCUCAUGAGAUCUAAUGGUUUCAUAAAGGGGAGUUCCCCUGCACAUGCUCUCUCUUGCCUGCUGCCACGUAAGAUGUGACUUUGCUCCUCCUUCGCUGUCUACCAUGAUUGUGAGGCCUCACUAGCUAUUUGGAACUGUGAUUCCAUUAAACCUCUUUCCUUUGUAAA
Molecule: long non-coding RNA, 7243 nt
Organism: Symphalangus syndactylus (siamang)
Lineage: Eukaryota; Metazoa; Chordata; Mammalia; Primates; Hylobatidae
Source: RefSeq, a predicted model, not a curated record